AUUGAUCAUGGCUCGAUUGACGCUGGCGGCAGGCCUAACACAUGCAAGUCGAACGGUAGCACAGAGAGCUUGCUCUCGGGUGACGAGUGGCGGACGGGUGAGUAAUGUCUGGGAAACUGCCUGAUGGAGGGGGAUAACUACUGGAAACGGUAGCUAAUACCGCAUAACGUCGCAAGACCAAAGAGGGGGACCUUCGGGCCUCUUGCCAUCAGAUGUGCCCAGAUGGGAUUAGCUAGUAGGUGGGGUAACGGCUCACCUAGGCGACGAUCCCUAGCUGGUCUGAGAGGAUGACCAGCCACACUGGAACUGAGACACGGUCCAGACUCCUACGGGAGGCAGCAGUGGGGAAUAUUGCACAAUGGGCGCAAGCCUGAUGCAGCCAUGCCGCGUGUAUGAAGAAGGCCUUCGGGUUGUAAAGUACUUUCAGCGGGGAGGAAGGGGUUAAGGUUAAUAACCUCAUCCAUUGACGUUACCCGCAGAAGAAGCACCGGCUAACUCCGUGCCAGCCGCCGCGGUAAU
RNAcentral lists this ribosomal RNA (519 nucleotides) under Enterobacter cancerogenus. RNAcentral's name for it is "bacterial SSU rRNA". It matches the Rfam family "Bacterial small subunit ribosomal RNA", at positions 12 to 524 of the family's 1533-position model. Lineage: Bacteria; Pseudomonadati; Pseudomonadota; Gammaproteobacteria; Enterobacterales; Enterobacteriaceae. The record is from RNAcentral.